Molecule: transfer RNA, 67 nt
Filed under: Marmota monax (woodchuck)
Lineage: Eukaryota; Metazoa; Chordata; Mammalia; Rodentia; Sciuridae
Description: tRNA.Thr
Source: RNAcentral
GGUUGUGGCUCAGUGGUACAGUACUUGUCUAGUAUGCGUGAGGCACUGGGUUCAAUCCCCAGCACCA